GGGAAGCAGAUGGGGCGCCAGUGGCGGCAGGUGAAGGCCGCACCAGUAGACCACUAAGGGCCCUGAGGAGGGGAUCUCCCAAUGGUGAGGACUGCAGUCCCCACUAAGAGCAAUUACGCGGUCUGGUAGCUAUCCCUUUUGGAAGCACGUACUUCAUAGAAAUAUCAUGAGAAACUGUCAUUGAAGCCAUACUCGCUCUGAAUAUGACGUCAGAAUAAUCCCUUAAGACUGUGGAUCUGCAUUCUCCUCGAGCAAGACGGCUGUUUCCAAUACC
RNAcentral lists this long non-coding RNA (274 nucleotides) under Elaeis guineensis (African oil palm). Its description in RNAcentral is "long non-coding RNA (EGUI_LNC018955)". Lineage: Eukaryota; Viridiplantae; Streptophyta; Magnoliopsida; Arecales; Arecaceae. The record is from RNAcentral.